RNAcentral lists this ribosomal RNA (482 nucleotides) under uncultured bacterium. RNAcentral describes it as "bacterial SSU rRNA". It matches the Rfam family "Bacterial small subunit ribosomal RNA", at positions 501 to 985 of the family's 1533-position model. The record is from RNAcentral.
CUACGUGCCAGCAGCCGCGGUAAUACGGAGGAUGCGAGCGUUAUCCGGAUUUAUUGGGUUUAAAGGGUGCGUAGGCGGCCUGUUAAGUCAGCGGUGAAAUCUAGGAGCUUAACUCCUAAAUUGCCAUUGAUACUGGCGGGCUUGAGUGUAGAUGAGGUAGGCGGAAUGCGUGGUGUAGCGGUGGAAUGCAUAGAUAUCACGCAGAACUCCGAUUGCGAAGGCAGCUUACUAAGGUACAACUGACGCUGAAGCACGAAAGCGUGGGUAUCAAACAGGAUUAGAUACCCUGGUAGUCCACGCUGUAAACGAUGAUAACUGGGCGUAUGCGAUAUACGGUAUGCUCCUAAGCGAAAGCGUUAAGUUAUCCACCUGGGGAGUACGCCGGCAACGGUGAAACUCAAAGGAAUUGACGGGGGCCCGCACAAGCGGAGGAACAUGUGGUUUAAUUCGAUGAUACGCGAGGAACCUUACCCGGGAUUGAA